AUAUUAUUUGUGGGAAAUGAAAUUUCACACGAUAAGAUUGAAACUGCUAGUGCGCAUUCAAAUUUUGUUUAAAAGAAAGGAAACUAAUUAAUAAAAAAAUUGUAAUUAUCAUUACAGCCCUCGAUUUCCUAAUGUUCCAAUCGGUGUUCAAAAAUUGAAAAUGGAAAGGUGGAGAUUGUGUUUUCGCGCAGGGAAUUAGGGAAACCAUGAGAAGCGUGACAACGCGCAAAUCUAAUGUCCUUAUUUCUGAGGGAGAUGGUAGUGGUGUAAUCGAUGAUGCAGGAUGUGGUGGAGAGAGAGAGAGAGAGA
Molecule: unclassified non-coding RNA, 309 nt
Filed under: Hevea brasiliensis (rubber tree)
Lineage: Eukaryota; Viridiplantae; Streptophyta; Magnoliopsida; Malpighiales; Euphorbiaceae
Source: RNAcentral